UGGAAAGGCCCAGAGAAUUAAGUCCUCUGUUCAUUCAUAGAGCAGGUAUAGCGCAAGCUUUCCACACAAUACCCUGUCAGUGUGCCUCAAUCCUGCCUGGAGAGAGACCACUUCAAAAGGGCAAGAAGGCAAUUCACUCUCUUUAUAACAGUUCUACAUGCAUCAAUA
Molecule: small RNA, 168 nt
Filed under: Chelonoidis abingdonii (Abingdon island giant tortoise)
Lineage: Eukaryota; Metazoa; Chordata; Testudines; Testudinidae
Description: TUC338 (ENSCABG00000000028.1)
Source: RNAcentral